UACGUAGGGGGCAAGCGUUGUCCGGAAUCAUUGGGCGUAAAGCGCGCGUAGGCGGCCCGAUAAGUCCGCUGUGAAAGUCAACGGCUCAACUGUUGAAUGCCGGUGGAUACUGUCGGGCUAGAGUCCGGAAGAGGCAAGUGGAAUUCCUGGUGUAGCGGUGGAAUGCGCAGAUAUCAGGAGGAACACCUAUAGCGAAGGCAGCUUGCUGGGACGGUACUGACGCUAAGGCGCGAAAGCGUGGGGAGCGAACAGG
Molecule: ribosomal RNA, 253 nt
Filed under: uncultured bacterium
Lineage: Bacteria
Description: partial 16S ribosomal RNA
Rfam family: Bacterial small subunit ribosomal RNA
Source: RNAcentral